UACGGAGGAUGCGAGCGUUAUCCGGAUUUAUUGGGUUUAAAGGGUGCGCAGGCGGGGGAUUAAGUCGGCGGUGAAAUUUUGCAGCUCAACUGUAAAAGUGCCUUCGAAACUGGUUUCCUUGAGUGUAGAUGAAGUAGGCGGAAUUUGUGGUGUAGCGGUGAAAUGCAUAGAUAUCACGAGGAACUCCGAUUGCGAAGGCAGCUUACUAAGCUACUACUGACGCUCAGGCACGAAGGCGUGGGGAUCAAACAGGAUUAGAUACCCCCGUAGU
Molecule: ribosomal RNA, 271 nt
Filed under: uncultured prokaryote
Description: partial 16S ribosomal RNA
Rfam family: Bacterial small subunit ribosomal RNA
Source: RNAcentral